UACGUAGGGGGCAAGCGUUGUCCGGAUUUAUUGGGCGUAAAGAGCGUGUAGGCGGCUGGGUAGGUCCGCUGUGAAAACUUGAGGCUCAACCUCAAGAGGUCGGUGGAAACCAUCCAGCUAGAGUCCGGAAGAGGAGAAUGGAAUUCCUGGUGUAGCGGUGAAAUGCGCAGAUAUCAGGAAGAACACCCGUGGCGAAGGCGGUUCUCUGGGACGGUACUGACGCUGAGACGCGAAAGCGUGGGGAGCGAACAGG
Molecule: ribosomal RNA, 253 nt
Filed under: uncultured bacterium
Lineage: Bacteria
Description: partial 16S ribosomal RNA
Rfam family: Bacterial small subunit ribosomal RNA
Source: RNAcentral